This 800-nucleotide long non-coding RNA is filed under the name Panax ginseng (ginseng). RNAcentral's name for it is "long non-coding RNA (PGIN_LNC018086)". The record is from RNAcentral. Lineage: Eukaryota; Viridiplantae; Streptophyta; Magnoliopsida; Apiales; Araliaceae.
GCUUAUGGGUUAACCCUAAUUUUUUGUUCUGCAGAUUUGCGAUGAUGUGCCAAACACACCUAUCCGAUUUACAUACAUUUGGAUUCACGAUCCAGUGUGUGAUUUGCAUGUGUAGCAUUAUUUUGGUUGCUUGUGUGGCAUAAUUUUGACUUGCAUGUGUGGCAUUGUUUUGAAUUGCCUGUGUGGUAAUGUAUAUUUCUGAGCUCACUCGGUAUGAAAUAACACCCAGUCAUUUGAUUCAACCUAUUAUUUUAUUGUAUUAGUUUUGUUUGUUUCUGUUCAGUUUAAUUAAUUGUGUUAGUUACUUCAGUUCAUUUUUUAUUCUUCUGUUUGUUUCGUUAAAUCUGUUGAUUCAAAUAUAUUCUAUCUAGACUUUGGAUAUCAUAUUUUUGUCAGUCUUUAAGCUUGAGGCUUUGUUAAGUAUGUUGCUUCAGUUGAUUUCGUAUUUAGUUAUACAUCUUUGUAUUAUCUAUAUCCAUACUGGGCAAUUGACUCAUGCUGUAUUUUUCUUCCGACAGAUUUAUAGGGGUGAUUCAGGGCUAGAGUGAUGAGAGAGUUUCCUUUGACCAUCUAUGUUGAUUUGAUUUUAAAUUUUGAUUAUUUUGACUCUGUUUGGAGAAUUGUAUUUAGUACUUUAUUAAUGGAUCACUACUAUUAAUAUUUUGAAGUUAUCAGUGCUCUGUUUACUUAAUUUGAGGUUUGUUUGUGCUCUGCACGUGACAUCCCCUUUCUUUUUCGUGAGGGAGGUGUUAUACUUGGCCCAACAAUAUAUAUGUAUAUAUAUAUAUAUAUACGGUCCG